CUAGUUUAGGCUAGUUUUGUUUCCAAAACGAAGUAAAGAUUAAAUAUGGGGGCUAGAAAUGUACUAGCCUCUCCCUCACUACACUCAAAAUUAGAAUCAUUAAUAUGGAGGCCUGGGAUUCUAAACCGAACCGAUUUGUCCGAACUGGGCAAAUCGGUUCGGUUCCUAUUAGUUAAACAAAACCGAUUGGAAUAUAUUUGAAAUUAUUUCGGUUAACCGAGAUUUUCGAUUCAGUUCGCUCGAACCGAACGGUUAACCGAAUAAAUAAAAACACCUGACCUAACCUAAUAACUCUAGCUGACGCCUGACUACUCCUCUUCUUCUUUGAUUUUUCAUUUCUCCUUCUUCUUCUUCAAUUAUUCUUCUCUAAUUCUUCUUCUCCUUAUUUUCUUCUUCUUCUUUGAUUUUUCUUCUCCGAUUCUUAGUCUUCCUCGAUUCAUCUUCUCGUGGAUUAUUAAAAACCUCUCGAUCUUUUGCACUGUGUCGAGGUUGGCGUUGACGGCGUCGAGGGAUUCAAGGAGAGCGGCAUGUGAGUGCAGCGAGUGUGAGAGUUGCCGGGAAGGGCAAAUUCGUCCUCUCGCAUCCUCUGUCGGAUCGGAGAUAGAUGCUUCACGAACGACAGAUCCGCCCUCUUGCAACAGCUUCUUUCUCCAAUGACCUAAGUGCAAAAACCGAGAUAACCGAAAUGCCAAAAUCGAAUAAACCGUAUCCGAACCAAACCGAACCGAAGUAUUAGUCGGUUCGAUUCGGAAUAAGUUUUAUUUUCCGAAUAACCCGAAAAAAACGAGAAACCGAAACCGAAUAAACUGAUCGGCUCAAAGUCACAGCCCUACUAAUAUGGAUCAUAAUGUAUAUGCUUGUACAAAAAAAUUAACAAACGACGAUAACAUUGCAACAGACAAUUCCUAAUUGGUAAAGAUGGUGUAUACACUAGCGGAUUGGUAUUAUAGUAUGCUUUCUCAAUGCAUUUGGAUUGUCUUGAAGAUAUUAGUGGAUUCAACUACAAUUAAAGAGAUUUAUGCCAUCAACGGGUAAAUCUCGAGUGCGAAUCAUAGUGUUCUAUACCCGUAAUUUGUGAAAUGUAGAGUGUGAUCUAUACACUCUACAUAAUCUAAAAAAAAAUCUAGAAAUCAUUUAUGUUCUACGAUUUCAUAUUUCUACGAAAUUUAGAAUACAUAUUAAAUAAUUUAUUCUAUGUUAUACCAAAGUUAUAAAACAUUGUCUAACCUUUAGUUUACGUUCUAAGAUUGUUAAAAAAUGUAUUCUUAUAUUUUAUAUGAUAUUCUACGAAAAUUAGAAAAUAAAUUCUAUGUAAUUUAGAAUUUCUUUUUUUUUAAAAAAAAAGAAACUGAACUGUAUAAUAAAGAAAGUGAUCAAGCUCAUCAACUAAAAAUUUGACCAGAAUUUCAUACAAUAACACGACACACAAGUAACUUCCAACCAACCUUAUUGAAUCCUCGCUUCCUUACUCUUGGAUUUGUCGCUUCGAUUAACAUUAGAUUUGGAUAAGAAAUUGAGGCUGGGAUUUGAAAAAUAAGAGAUUGAGGAUGAGAUUUGAAGAAAAAGAAUAGAUUGAGUCUGCGGGAAAGUUUGACGGUGGAACGAGAGGAAGAAAGAAAGUAAUGUCGAGUUUUCUUUUUUCUCUAACUUUUUUUUAAAUAGAGAAAUCAUCAAAUUGAUUUUAAAAAUUCCAAUCAUUUUGCAUGAUUUAUUUUUGAGAUUGAAAGUAU
This 1730-nucleotide long non-coding RNA is filed under the name Arabidopsis lyrata. RNAcentral's name for it is "long non-coding RNA (ALYR_LNC001627)". Lineage: Eukaryota; Viridiplantae; Streptophyta; Magnoliopsida; Brassicales; Brassicaceae. The record is from RNAcentral.